UACGAAGGGGGCUAGCGUUGCUCGGAAUCACUGGGCGUAAAGGGUGCGUAGGCGGGUCUUUUAAGUCAGGGGUGAAAUCCUGGAGCUCAACUCCAGAACUGCCUUUGAUACUGAGGAUCUUGAGUUCGGGAGAGGUGAGUGGAACUGCGAGUGUAGAGGUGAAAUUCGUAGAUAUUCGCAAGAACACCAGUGGCGAAGGCGGCUCACUGGCCCGUUACUGACGCUGAGGCACGGAAAGCGUGGGGAGCAAACAGGGA
RNAcentral lists this ribosomal RNA (257 nucleotides) under uncultured bacterium. RNAcentral's name for it is "partial 16S ribosomal RNA". It matches the Rfam family "Bacterial small subunit ribosomal RNA", at positions 524 to 778 of the family's 1533-position model. The record is from RNAcentral.